RNAcentral lists this ribosomal RNA (39 nucleotides) under Bipolaris sorokiniana. RNAcentral describes it as "partial 28S ribosomal RNA". RNAcentral also lists the same sequence under 4 other names. Lineage: Eukaryota; Fungi; Ascomycota; Dothideomycetes; Pleosporales; Pleosporaceae. The record is from RNAcentral.
GACCUCGGAUCAGGUAGGGAUACCCGCUGAACUUAAGCA